This 107-nucleotide small nuclear RNA is filed under the name Tupaia belangeri chinensis (Chinese tree shrew). The record is from RNAcentral. Lineage: Eukaryota; Metazoa; Chordata; Mammalia; Scandentia; Tupaiidae.
GUGCUUGCUUCGGCAGCACAUAUACUAAAACUGGAAUGAUACAGAGAAGAUUAGCAUGGCCCCUGCGCAAGGAUGUCACGCAAAUUCAUGAAGCGUUCCAUAUUUUU